AAACAAUAGCAUUAAAAUGCAUACCGGUUUCGAUUCAGUAAGAGCGGCAACGCAUUGUUUU
This 61-nucleotide transfer RNA is filed under the name Amynthas sp. 3 LZ-2016. RNAcentral's name for it is "tRNA-Arg". The record is from RNAcentral. Lineage: Eukaryota; Metazoa; Annelida; Clitellata; Crassiclitellata; Megascolecidae.